UGCAUGGCAUCCUGCCCUCUGUUUCAGGC
RNAcentral lists this non-coding RNA (29 nucleotides) under Mus musculus (house mouse). Lineage: Eukaryota; Metazoa; Chordata; Mammalia; Rodentia; Muridae. The record is from RNAcentral.